This 428-nucleotide ribosomal RNA is filed under the name Bacteroidota bacterium. RNAcentral's name for it is "Bacteroidetes bacterium partial 16S ribosomal RNA". It matches the Rfam family "Bacterial small subunit ribosomal RNA", at positions 355 to 776 of the family's 1533-position model. Lineage: Bacteria; Pseudomonadati; Bacteroidota. The record is from RNAcentral.
UAGGGAAUUUUCCGCAAUGGACGCAAGUCUGACGGAGCAACGCCGCGUGAGUGAAGAAGGAUUUCGGUUCGUAAAACUCUGUUGUUAGAGAAGAACAGCGCAUAGAGUAACUGUUAUGCGUGUGACGGUAUCUAACCAGAAAGGGACGGCUAACUACGUGCCAGCAGCCGCGGUAAUACGUAGGUCCCGAGCGUUGUCCGGAUUUAUUGGGCGUAAAGCGAGCGCAGGCGGUUAGAAAAGUCUGAAGUGAAAGGCAGUGGCUCAACCAUUGUAGGCUUUGGAAACUGUUUAACUUGAGUGCAGAAGGGGAGAGUGGAAUUCCAUGUGUAGCGGUGAAAUGCGUAGAUAUAUGGAGGAACACCAGUGGCGAAGGCGACUCUCUGGUCUGUAACUGACGCUGAGGUUCGAAAGCGUGGGUAGCAAACAGG